UACGGGAGGCAGCAGUGGGGAAUAUUGCACAAUGGGCGCAAGCCUGAUGCAGCCAUGCCGCGUGUAUGAAGAAGGCCUUCGGGUUGUAAAGUACUUUCAGUCGUGAGGAAGGUGUUAAGGUUAAUAACCUUAGCAAUUGACGUUAGCGACAGAAGAAGCACCGGCUAACUCCGUGCCAGCAGCCGCGGUAAUACGGAGGGUGCGAGCGUUAAUCGGAAUUACUGGGCGUAAAGGGCACGCAGGCGGUUAAUUAAGUUGGAUGUGAAAUCCCCGGGCUUAACCUGGGAAUGGCAUUCAAGACUGGUUAGCUAGAGUCUUGUAGAGGGGGUAGAAUUCCAUGUGUAGCGGUGAAAUGCGUAGAGAUGUGGAGGAAUACCGGUGGCGAAGGCGGCCCCGUGGACAAAGACUGACGCUCAUGUGCGAAAGCGUGGGGAGCAAACAGGAUUAGAUAC
RNAcentral lists this ribosomal RNA (452 nucleotides) under uncultured bacterium. RNAcentral's name for it is "bacterial SSU rRNA". It matches the Rfam family "Bacterial small subunit ribosomal RNA", at positions 340 to 785 of the family's 1533-position model. The record is from RNAcentral.